CGUAGGGGGCAAGCGUUGUCCGGAAUCAUUGGGCGUAAAGCGCGCGUAGGCGGCCCUGUAAGUCCGUUGUGAAAGUCAAAGGCUCAACCUUUGAAUGCCGAUGGAUACUGCAGGGCUAGAGUCCGGAAGAGGCGAGUGGAAUUCCUGGUGUAGCGGUGGAAUGCGCAGAUAUCAGGAGGAACACCAAUAGCGAAGGCAGCUCGCUGGGACGGUACUGACGCUAAGGCGCGAAAGCGUGGGGAGCGAACAGGAUUAGAUACCCUGGUAGUCCACGCCGUAAACGAUGGGCACUAGGUGUGGGAGGUGUCGACUCCUCCCGUGCCGUCGCUAACGCACUAAGUGCCCCGCCUGGGGAGUACGGCCGCAAGGCUA
This 372-nucleotide ribosomal RNA is filed under the name uncultured organism. Its description in RNAcentral is "bacterial SSU rRNA". It matches the Rfam family "Bacterial small subunit ribosomal RNA", at positions 526 to 896 of the family's 1533-position model. The record is from RNAcentral.